This 496-nucleotide ribosomal RNA is filed under the name uncultured bacterium. Its description in RNAcentral is "partial 16S ribosomal RNA". It matches the Rfam family "Bacterial small subunit ribosomal RNA", at positions 29 to 507 of the family's 1533-position model. The record is from RNAcentral.
AUGAACGCUGGCGGCGUGCCUAAUCCCUGCCAGUCGAGCGAACGGACGAGAAGCUUGCUUCUCUGAUGUUAGCGGCGGACGGGUGAGUAACACGUGGAUAACCUACCUAUAAGACUGGGAUAACUUCGGGAAACCGGAGCUAAUACCGGAUAAUAUUUUGAACCGCAUGGUUCAAAAGUGAAAGACGGUCUUGCUGUCACUUAUAGAUGGAUCCGCGCUGCAUUAGCUAGUUGGUAAGGUAACGGCUUACCAAGGCAACGAUGCAUAGCCGACCUGAGAGGGUGAUCGGCCACACUGGAACUGAGACACGGUCCAGACUCCUACGGGAGGCAGCAGUAGGGAAUCUUCCGCAAAGGGCGAAAGCCUGACGGAGCAACGCCGCGUGAGUGAUGAAGGUCUUCGGAUCGUAAAACUCUGUUAUUAGGGAAGAACAUAUGUGUAAGUAACUGUGCACAUCUUGACGGUACCUAAUCAGAAAGCCACGGCUAACUACGUG